UCAUCAAAAAAUUCGAUGAGAAGCUACGCGAGGGAGAUGCGAUUGUCCUCCAGUUGUUCAAAGUGUACGAUGCAACUGGUGAAUACCGUACAACGCCACAUCCUUACAAAAUUAGCUUCUUUCCAACAACUUUUGUUGGAAAAGCUGAUAAUUUUCCAAGUGCAGUUCCCAAAAAGUAUUUCGCGGACUUCUCUGAUAUUCUUGGUGGAAAUCUGGAUCAUAGCUGUUUGGUUGAUGUGGUUGGCCAAAUAGUUAACUUCGGGUCUCUGUAAAAACAAAAUAAUUAAAGGAAAAGACAACAUGAGGCUCUUGGUUGAGCUGCGUGACGCAAAGUAAGACUUUGUUUUUAAUCUUAGUUAUACUUUGCUAGCUAAACGUCUAUUAACUAUAUUUAACUUAAGUUUAUAUUAUACAGUAAUGUAAAGAUGAUGUGUAUUCUGUGGGGUUGUUAUGCUAAACAAGUAUACGAUUACAGUAGGAGUAACAUGUCGACCAUGAUUAUUUGUGUUAUCAGAUUUUGUUCUGUUAAAGAGUGGAAAGGUUUAUAAUAUUGUUUCAAUUUGUGUAAAAUGAUUGCGAGCAUAACAUAUUAAUAAGAUCAAUAUACUUUGUAGGUGCUUACUCCAUAUCUAGCGGGUAUAAUUCAACCCAUAUUCUGCUCAACCCAACACUUGAUUUUAUUGAGGAGUUCAAAUCAAGGUACGUGUCCUGCGUCUUACGUUCCAGACCUAUGGAGGAGUUCAAUACAUAUAGAUGUUUAUUUUAAUUUGAUCACCUCAUUUUCACUGACGGGUUUUUAAAUUAUGUGUGAUUAUUUGUGAUGGCAGUCUCCCUGAUGAUUCACUUGCUCUUACAAACAACGAUAGUAACAAAUGGUCUGUUGGUACUGCAACUUCUAUUCGUGCCAGGUUUUUUGUUCUUAAUGAGAGGCUAACCAUCAGAGAGAUCAUUGACAGUACUCUGGUAUAUAGACUACACUCUUUGAUCUCAAUUUUUUUACACAUUCGUAUACUCCAUGUGUUAUCAAUGCUUUUAACAUAUUGUUAUUAACGAAUAGGUUAGGCACUUUUGUCACUCUGGGGACUAUAUCAAUAAUUGAUACUGAAUGUGGCUGGCAAUAUUUAAGUUGCAAAUACCACAACAAAAAAGUGAUGCCUACAACCAAUGUUGAUGCUGAUGGCCGGCCCUUGUUCUUCUGCAAUACGUGUGACAAAGAACACAGUGAUGUCAUUUCCAGGAUUGAGCGGGUUAGAUAUACAAAUAGAUGAGUUGGGUAAAUCGUCAUUGAAACAGUAUGUGGCGUUUAUUAAUAUUUUUGUACAGGUUCAAAUUAAUUGCCCAUGUCAAGGACGAUAACGGUGAGGCUAAUUUUCUUUUGUUUGAUGCUAAUGCUCAACAAAUUGUGCGUCAUUCUGCUGCUGAACUCUAUGACGAGGUACUUUUAAUAUAAUUGUACAUCAAUUAACAGAAUAAAUUCGUUGAUUGGACCUGAAUGUUUAUCGAGAAAUGUUUGUUUAUUAUUAACAGAAUAAAUUCGUUGAUAAAACCACAAUUGUACAUCAAUUAAAACCACAAUUGUACAUCAAUUAACAGAAUAAAUUCGUUGAUAAAACCAUAAUUGUACAUCAAUUAAUAGAAUAAAUUCGCCGACAUCUACUUUAUCGAGAAAUAUACUUCAUAAUUUAUAUUAUUUAUGGAUAAUAUUUUGAUUUUUAUUAUAUUUUCUUUUAAUAUGUCUACAUAAAUGUUUGUUUAUUAUUUAUGGAAAAAUAAUAUUAUUCACCUAAAAUAAAAAAUUACAAUACAUAUACAAUACAAUUCUAAUUAAUGAUAAUAUAAAAUCUGUUACUUCUAAAACUAUACACUGUUUAUUCUAUUUUUUGAAUGAAAGUAUCUUCGUAAACACACAAAAUAUUUUGUGACAUUGCAAUUAUACAUACACAUAAUAUCUGCCUCUUCAUACUGAUAUUACUGUGUUCCCUCUCGUGAGGUGCGGACCGAGAGGAAACACAGGGUACGGACCAGUCAUGUUCUUAUGCCCGUACAGGGUGUGGACCAGUCACCUAGUCUAUAAUUACAAAAGCUGACGAAAAAAAUAUCCUAGAACCGUAAUACUGGAAAAUGAAAAAAAAAAUGAUUAUUGGAAAAGAAAUCCUAGCUCCAGUGAUUAGAAAGCCACUGGCGCGCAGCAUCGAAAAAAGUCUGUAGCAGUUUAUGUACAGAGAGUUUUUGUUCACUGUUUUAGAAUAAAAUAAUAUUCUGUAAAAGAAAUGAUUCUCUUCUUUGUUUCCUUAUCGUACAGAACUUAAGUGAACCUUUAAAUUUACUUCCACUCUUUAGAACUAAUCAAAGCAAUAUAUAAACUAUUUAUUAAAAAAUAUUAAAUUAAAUAAAAAUAACUACAAAAAAUAAAAACGCUAAUUUUAACGACGCUAACUCUUUCAAUUAAACCCUAAACCCUAAACCCUAAACCCAAGUCCUAGAUCCUAAACCCAAACUGCCAACUUUAAACCCAAAUAAUAUACCCUAAAUCCAAAACCUUAACCAUAAGUCCAAAUGGUAAAUUCUAAACCCAAACCGUAAAUCGUAAACCCAAAACCUAUAACCUAAAAUCCAAACGGUAAAUCCUAAACCCAAACGCUAAACUUAGAUGCUAUAGGGUUUAGGUUAAAGUUUACAGUUUGAGUUUAGGGUUUAAGACUUGGGUUUAGGGUAUAAGGUAUAGAAUUUAUGUUUAUAGUCUAUUUUGUAGGUUUAAGGUGUAUAAUUUGGGUUUAGGGUCUAGAAUUAGGGUUUAGAGUAUAAGAUUUAGGUUUAGGUUUAGAAUUUAGGGUAUAAGAUUUAGGAUUUCGCUGGAAACGUUACUGUCGUUAAAAUUAAUAUUUUUAUUUUUUAUAGCUAUUUGUUAUUCAAUUUAAUAUUUUUAGUUAAUAAUUUAUGUGUUAAUUUGAUUGGUCUUAAAGAGAGGUGAACCUAAGUUUUGUUCUUCCUUAUCCUACAAAAAUCUUUAACUCUCUUUAGUCUUUAGCACGCCGAAUAUCUUUCCUUGAAUUAGUCAAGUGAUAUUGACGUAGGUGCUAGUCCUUCUAUAGAAAGUAUUGGAAAAUCUCUUAAGUAAUAAAAUAAUGGAACAAUUCAAUAACUAUUAACAGAAUAAACUGUAUCAGAUAUCUUUUUAAUAAAUAACUAUAAACGCUGAAAUUUUAGUUUUUCAGAUAUUUUCCUAAUAACUAUAAAGAUUUUAUUAACAAUAAGUAUGAAUAUUAUGUAGUUUUCGUACUUACAAGAACAUGUAUAUCAUUGACUAUAUAUCUCAUAAUAUAUAAUAAGUAUUACUAAUAAAAAGAAAAUAAACAAGUUAUUUUCUAAUCUGUUAUGUACAUUUUAAAUUUUAACUAGGUUGAACAAAAACACUCUAUUUAAUAUAGUAUUUUUUGCAUUUUAAGUUUAUUCAUUUUUUGACAUAUCAAAUAUGUUUGUUAAAAAUAAAUUAAACAUGUUUUCUUUUAUAAUUUUUAUAUACUAACUUGACUAUGGAAUUUUCAACUAACGGUUUUUUAAAACAUGAAAACGUAAUUAGUAAAAACUAUAUAAAUCAAAUAAAAUUAGACGAGAAAGAAGAAGAAAAAAAAGAGAAAAAAAAAAACAAAAUUGUUUAAAGAUUUUGAUCGAUUAAAAAUAAAUAAUGUAAUAUUAAAUAAAAUAUGCUGUAUAUUCUAACCAGAUUGUUUUUGUUUUUUUUUUUAACUUAUUCUAGCCAUAUUGUUGCUAUGGUCAUAUAUUAAAUUAUAUUUUUGAUGGUUAUAGAAUACUAAUUCUCAAAUAUUCUUUCUUCUUCUUUUUGAGCUGCUCUAAUGAAACUAUUCUCCAUUCUACUUAUAUACAAACAAACUAUAGUGGUAUUUUUCUAACUUUGAUUCCCCUUAAUUGGACAUAUUCUGUUGUCGAUGGUUUCUAGCUGUUAUUAAAAAUUAAAAAUAUAGUAGUAAAGGUUACUUUGUAACCAUAAGAAACCGACAAAAUUGACUCGGAUUUAUACCAUUUAACCAGAAGGGUGUUAAUAGCCCUUCGGAGUUCGAACCGAACAGGCCGAAUAGAACCAGAAUUUUUGGUUUUUAGUUCGCUUUUGGUUUUGAGUUUUGUUUGGUUCGGAAAGCUACAAUUCGGUUUACGGUUUUGUUUGGUUUAACAAUACGAAAAGUUAACCGAAUUAUUACUUUUUUAAGGAAAAAAAUUAUACCAAAACUAUACCGGUUUAUACCAAAAUUAUACCAAUGUUAACCAAUAAUCAAUUAAAUUUACCAAGGUAAUCGAAUACCCAGUUUUAACCAAUUUAAACCGAAUUUUCAAAAAAAUUAAAGAAAAGACAAAAUUUGGUUGUUUUUCGUUUUGAGAUUAAAAACCAAAAUUUACCAGUAACCGAAACAAAAUGUUAUUCGGUUAAUUUUGAAAUGAUUUAUAAACAUUUCGGUUAGCCAAAAACCAAAAAUUCGGUUUCAAAAACCGAAAUCGCUGGACUACUGUUAACACUGAUUAGUUCUUUUAUUAACAAACCAUAGUUCUGUAGUGAAUUCUAAAAUUCACGCUAUUGGUCAUAUAUUGGUUGCGAUCCAACAUGUUUUCGUAUUAGCUAUUGCAUGUUGUUCUAACUCAAAAGUAUGAAUUCACAAGAUUAUAUGAUCUCAAUAAAGAACUCACUUUAUUAAUGCUUAAGAAACUAACUCAAAACUUAAGUUCACACACACAAUCUCUAAAACUCAUAAGUUAUGCUAUACAUUCGCAUCUCCUUAUAUAGAAAUUAUAUUUCCUACUCAUUAGGAAAGCACACUUUCCUUUUUCUAACUUAAUUAGGUUUUUGUAACUUAGCCUCCAAGUUAACUUUAAGCUUAUUGCCAACAUUCGCCCCUUUAAUCUUAAAGUUAUCUUCUUCUAUUUCUUGAACUCCAACCGACUCUUGCAUUUCUUUAAACUUAAUUCGACCAAGUGCCUUGGUUAGGAUAUAUGCAUAUAUGCCUUUUGCUCGGUUCCUGGAACAUGAUGAACUUCUAUUUGUUCGUUCUCAACACACUCUCGUAUGAAGUGAUACCUUUUAUGUAUGUGUUUGCUGCGUCCGUGAAACACUGAAUUCUUAGUAAGAGCUAUCGCGGAUUUGUUGUCGAUGUAGAUGAUUGUCUUCUCAAUAGGCUUCUCGAUUAUCUUUUCAAGUAGCUCUUGUAACCAGAUUGCUUGUUUGGCUGCUUCCAUAGCUGCGAUAAACUCUGCUUCACAUGAUGAUAGAGCUACUGUUUCUUUCUUCUGUGAACACAAUGAGAUAGGACAUUCAUUCAAGUAAAAUAUAUGGCCAGUAGUGCUUCUUCUAUCAUCUUCAUCAAUAUUGUGUCCACUGUUGCUAUAUCCUAUGAGUUGCCUUCGGUCACUUCGCUUGUAUAUGAGUCCAUACACAGUGGUACCCUUUAGAUACCGAAGGACUUGUUUCAAGGCUGCAGCAUGCGAUGUCUUAGGUUCAUGCAUAUACCGACUGAGUAAACCAACACAGAAUGAAAGGUCUGGACGUGUAUGGAUCAUGUAUCGAAGGCAGCCAAUCAUGCACCUGUUUUCAGUUGCAUCAACGCUCUGUUCCUCUGGUGCCUUGGAUAGUUUCAAACCAAAAUCCAUUGGUGCAUGUACUUGAUUGCAGUCGUCCAUUCCUCCUUCACUUAAGAUCUUCUUUGUGUAGUUCUCUUGAUUCAAUGUGAUACCCUCACUGCUCUGUCGUACUUCAAUGCCUAUAUAGUACGUUAAUAAACCUAAGUCACUCAUCUCAAAGAUCUCAGACAUCUUCCACUUAAAAUCACAAAUUGACCUUAACUUCGAUCCUGUGAUGAGAAGGUCAUCAACUACACUGCAACCCGUAACAUGCUCUCUUUCUCUCGCUUGCGGUAUAAGGAAGGCUCUUUUGAGCACUUCACAAAUCCCAAAUCUUCAAGAACUCGAUUUAACUUCUCAUUCCAGGCUUGGAGUUUCAAACCAUAUAACGCUUUGUGUAGUUUAUAUACCUUGUGUUUCGCUUCCAUUCACUUUGAAACCCUCCGGUUGAGCCACAUAGACAUCUUUUUUUAGAUCGCCGUGAAGGAACGCAGUUUUGUCAUCCAAGUGAUGGGCUUCCCAGUCGUGUGAUGCUGCUAAAGCGAUGAUGAAUCUGAUGGUUUCAAUACGAGCAACCGGAGCAAAAACUUCUUUAAAAUCAAUGCCAUGUCUUUGAGUAUAUCCCUUUGCAACAAGUCUUGAUUUGUAUUUGUUUAUGCUCCCAUCUGAAUAUAUUUUGAUCUUGAAUAUCCACUUCAAACCUAUAGCUUUGGGGCCUUUCGGUAAGUCGACUAGUGUCCACGUUUUAUUUUUCUAAAUGAAUGCAAUCUCAUCUCUGCACGCGUCUCGCCAUACCUUUUCUUCGACUGCAUCCUUAAAGCUCCAUGGUUCUUCGUCAAUUAUCAACAAGAGGCGUUCUCCCUCUAUCUCUGCUAAAUAUAUAUAGUCAUUGAGAUAAGCCGGUGCUUUGCUGACCCUAGUUGAUCUUCUCAGAGGUAUGUCUUCUAUUUCUUCUUCUUCACAGAUCAUUGUCGACUGAUGAUGUUUGAUUGCUGUUCGAUUCAUCUUCAGUUUCAUCUUCUAUCUCUCUUAUACCUUGGUCUCCAUACUCUCCCAAUGUAAGUUUGAACAUCCAUGGUUCCUGUUCGCGUUCAUCAGGCAUACAACCCCACAUCCAGCUCUUGUUUUCAUCGAAUACUACGUCUCUGCUCACUACUAUUUUUCUCAUAGUUGGAUCAAACAUCAUGUAUGCCUUCGAUACGGGCUUAGUUCCUAGAUGCAAGAGUGUUCUUGUUCUAUCAUCAAGCUUCUUCAGAUUAGGCAUAUGAGUUUUUCUAAAGCCAAUGCAUCCAAAAACUUGUAAGUGCUUUAUAUUAGGCUUUCUUCCUUUAAAGACCUCGUAUGGCGUUUGAUCACUAAGAGUUCUCGUCGCAACUCUGUUUAUAAUGUAGGUAGCAUGUCUCGCAGCUUCUCCCCAUAGGUAAUUAGUAUCUUCAUGUGCUUUAAUAUGAACCUAGUCAUCUCCAUUAGAGUUUGGUUUCGUCUCUCUACCACCCCGUUUUGUUGAGGCAUAUAUGGAGCUGUCAUGUGUCUUUGUAUUCCUGAUAUCUCGCAGAAAUCUUUGAACUCGUUUGAAGUAAACUCACCUCCCCUAUCGGUUCUUAGUCUUUUGAUUGUCAUAUUUGUUUCAUCCUCCACCAUUGCUUUGAACCGCUUGAACUUUUCAAACGCCUGCCCUUUUCCUUUCAACAGAACCAACCACAUGUAGCGUGAAUGAUCAUCGAUCAGUGCAAAUAUAUAGCGAUUCUUUGACGCAUUGGGAGGUGUAAUGCGUCCGCAAAGAUCUCCGUGAAUGAGUUUAAGUACUUGUGAUGCUCCGUAUUGAGUUGCUUUCGGAAACCCUUGCCUUACUUGUUUCCCAAGCAAACAAGACUCGCAUGUUUCCUUCUCUACAUUAAUGUGUGGCAUUCCCUCGACCAGUUAUUUUCUUAUCAUAGCUUUCUUGGAAUCCAUUCCAAUAUGCCCAAGUCGUGCAUGCCAUCGUGUGAACUCGCUCUCUUGCUGCACUUGAAAGCACUUUGCAUCGACAGUAUUCAUAGUUACCUUGUAGAGUCGGUUUCUAGCUCUGCUCGCUUUUGUGAUGAGGUUCCCGUCUAUGUCGUGUAGGGUGAGGUAGUUAUCUUUCAUUCUUGCUUCACAUCCAGCUUCAGUGGCUUGUCCAUGACUGAUUAUGUUAUUCCUCAGCUCCGGAAUGUAGUAGACAACGGUGAGAACACGUUUACUUCCGUUUUCACUCACAAAAUCGAUUGAUCCCUUCCCUUUAAUAUCAAUUCUCAAGUCGUCUCCAAAAUGUACUUUUCCCUUUAUGGUUUCAUCGAUCUUAGUGAAGUACUGUCGAUAUCCUGUCAUAUGAUUACUCGCGCCAUUGUUGAGAUACCAUAUCUUAUCACUAUCCUUGCUUGACUCAAACUCUUGCGGUUUUAUUUUAUUCUCGUUCAGGGAUAUAACUUUAUGCUUCUUGUGUGUCGUCCUUCUCCUCUCUGGUUUCAUAAGCUUCUUGCAGUUUAAGUAACCUGUCCGGGCAAUUCGCAGCAAAGUGGCCGUCCUUGUCACAUCUAAAACAAGUGAUUAUCGAAAAAUAAAUGUGACUGUAAUCUCGAUACGAACGUCCUCGUCCCCGUCCUCUGUUCCAAGAACGUCCCCCUCGACCUCUGUUCCUAUUGUCUCCAUUGUAGUCCCAAUACGGCUGAGCUUGAGAAGCUUCCAUGUUUGCAUACAUAAGUUUGUUUUGAUUGUCUUGGUUCUCUUCCUCAUCCUCGCAUACUCGUUCUUCAUAAGCUUUCAAACGUCCAAUGAUGUCUUCGAAGCUUGUAGUUUUAAGAUCUAGGACCUUUUCUAGAGACGCAACUAUAUGUAUAUAUUUUUUUCGGGGAAUACACUGAAGAAAUUUCUUCACCAACUUGGUUCUUCAAUAUUUUCUCCUAACGCCGCAGAUUUUGACGCAAUCUCUGAUAAUCUUCCAACAAAAUUUUUAAUCGAGUUUGUAUCUUUCAUCUUAAGUCACUCAAACUCGGCCAUUAGGAUUUGUAAUCGAGCUUCUUUUACUCGAUCAGCUCCCAUGUGUCUAGCUUUAAUGACUUCCCAUACCUUUUUCACAUUACUCCUUAAUGCUUAAUAAAAUAACUCAAAACUUAAGCUCACAAAUACAAUCUCUAAAACUCAUAAGUUAUGCUACAUAUUAGCAUCUCUUUAUAUAGAGAUUCUAUUUUCUAAACUCAUUAGGAAAACACACUUUCCUUUUUCUAAUUUAAUUAGGUUUCUUGUAACUUAGCCUCCAAGUUAAGUUUAAGCUUAUUGCCAACACUGAGACGUUUGCACAGUCUAAAAUUCACUACACGUAUGUACAAGUUCUGUAGCUUAAGCCUUGAAAUGGAGGAUUCUACGUUACUUUCUUAAACAAUUUUCAUAUGUUUUAGGGAAUGUCUUUGGAUCUGUUGUGUUCUGCUUUUAAAAGUAAUUUCAAUUAGAACUGUAACAUUCACAAACACAUGUGCAAAUAUUAGAACAUAGGUAUAAUUACUCAAACUUUAGGUUUUAACUAGAAAAAAAUAAAUAUCCUGGGAUGGUCGGUCUGUAUCAAGCAAAAUAUUAUGUGCAGAUAAAAAAAAAUAACCUGUUGUUUAUCUAUAUUUUCAUUAAUGUAAUGUAGCCAUGUCAUACUUUAUUAAUUCUUGAAAUAUCAUAUGCAUUAAAUUUCUAUAAAGUAAUAUUGUUAGGACUUUUGAUAAUUAUUAAUUUACAAAGUUAUUAAUUUGCAUAAAAUUUCAAUUUUAGAUUAAUUUAUAUAUUUUGAAGAAUGUUUUAUAGAUGUAAAAAUAAGAAAACACUGGAUUUUCUGAUAUAUAUAUAUAUAUAUAUAUAUAUGAUUAGAGUUUACUUAUAGAAAAUGUAUGUUAUACUUAUUCGAUUAUUUGGUGUAUAGAAAAUAUAUUUCAUACAUGCAAAAGAAUUCUUAGGUUUAAAAUGACAAAACAACACUAAUUUAUCUAGAACGUUUAGAAAAAAUUAAAGAUAGACUUCAAUGUGAAUAAAAAACAAACUAUAUAUUAUACGUUUUAUAUAUAUAUAAACUUUAUAUACAUUAAUUAUUAAUAUAUAAUUUUAUUUAUUAUGUUAUCAAAUUGUGGUAUGUUUACACUGUUUCAAUUCAAAAAUUGACAAAUUUUAUUAAUUUAAUUUAUUUAUUAAUUUAUACUUAAAGAGUAUCUAACAUACAUAAAAGAUUGCACCUAGCUUUUGUUUCUUAUGAUGUAUGUAUGAAAAAUGAUGUGUUUAUCAUGAACUUAAGAAUUGUUGUGUCGGAUUUUACUUUUAUAUAAAAAUUAUAACCAAAACAAUAUAAAGAAAAUUGUGGCUAUAUCAGAUGCAUAAGGUAAAAUCACAACAAUUUUAUGUUGAUUUUUUACUUUACUCACUGCAACAUUCAACCAUCCAUCUCACUUGCGGCUCGCACUGCUUAAUGCAUUGUGUGUCUGCUAUAAGUCGAAGAACAUUGCCAUUUCUUAUAACUCCGCCAGAAGAUUGUUGGGAACUAACCCAAAUCUAGCGAGCCAGGCCAAGUUGACCACACAAGUUGUGGAAGCAACUAAACUAACAUGACCGAUGAAAAACCAAGCUUACCUCUUCUGAAACCCCUUUGUGAUAUGCCAGAUAUGCGUAAGACAAAAUAAUGUGUACUGUCUUUACUGCACCACCCGAUUUGUUCCAAGCCAUGAAGGAAAAUCUGCGCUUUCUGUGAUAUUGCAGGUUUGCUUGCUUACAAAUGGGGAUCAAUUCCCAUUUGUAACUAGGUGAGUUUUAUGUGGUUUUCUACGUCAAUGGAUGAAGUUACUUUUAAGUACAUGAAAAUUAUUAAAGAGGCAAUUGCAAAAAUUAAAUGUUAUCAGGUAUACAGACGCGAUAGUAUAGAAAAGUUAACAGACAACUUUAUAAUUUACUUGGCUCUACACACGUAGAAGUUCCACGAAGGACCGCUGUUAAGGAUUCUCUUUAAACAUACGAUUAAAUAUUAAACCAGUGUGUGUUUCUUUUUGCUUUUUAUUUUAAUUGUAACGUAGAAAAUUUAAAAUGUCCAAAACUGUUAAGUUCCGAUCAAUGACUCUAAAAGUCAGUGUAUGAGAAAUUACGUAAGAAAUCAUAUAAAUUCUUACUUGAACAGCACUCAUAUAAAAAGUUCAUUCUAAACCAAGAAAACUUUGUAAGGUUACUACUCCUACGAAACUCAUCCCUAACUUCAACCUUAAAACCAACCAUUCAACACAAACAAAACAUGUAGCAUCAAAACAAAAGAUCUAUUAACCUGAUGACUUCCAUAAUUUAUCUCUUAAGCUCUAAUAUCAUGGUCAGUCAAUCAUAACCCAUUACCAACAUCACCUUUCUACAGCCCAAAACUAUUCACACAAAUUUUAUACAAAAAACCCACAACCAAUCCUUUUGAAUCCAAAAUAUACAAACCACAAAUAAUGCACAGAAAAUGGGAUGAAAUUUAUUUAAAAGGAGACAACAUGAAGACCAUUUGAAACUCUUAAAACAUAUCAAUGCCCCAACUUUUUAAUAUAGAAAAAAUUAUCAUAAACAAGUAAAAUAUAUCUUAACACAUAUAACCCUCUUUAUCUAAAACUUUCUAAAUUACUGUCAUACACAUCAACUGCAAAUGCAACCUUAAAACAUAAACCACAAAAUUAUAUAAAAAAUAAUAAAUUAGAUUUCAAAUAAAAUAUAUCCCGUCCUAGACCCUAUUAUAUAUAUAUAUAUAUAUAUAUUCUUGUAUGGUAAAAAAAAUAUAUUGGCUAUGACUGAUAAAAUAUCAAAGGAAAGUGGUCGAGUAAAAAGUUUAAAAGAAAAAGGUUUUCGUGCCCACCAUUCAAGAGUAAAUAUUUCUUUCUUAUCAUAUGAUUUUUUUGCCAUUUUGCCAUUUUGCCAUUUUACUUACCAAUCCAAACGAUUGAGUAACGUUGUGCAUGUAACAUAAUUUUUAACAAUCACUAUUUAACUAACAUAAAUAAAUUAAAUUAUUUUUCAGAGUGGAACUAAACUUUUUUACUUGCAUUUCAUUUAUCCACUAACGUUUUUCAUAUUUGUUCUUCCAAUGAACGACAUGUUUUUCUUUUAUAUAUUAAAUACAGAAACACAAUCAUCAUAAGUGAAACAAUUUGAAUAGAGGUUUUUAGAGCAUCUCCAAAAAGAAACUCUAUUUUGAAGUUUUCAAAACUCCAUAUUUGAAGUUUAAAAGUGUUUUUCUCUAAAAGCAAAACUUCAAACUCGACUUCAAAACUAUUUGUAUUUUAUAAUAUGGUCCUUAUAUAUUUCAUAACUAAUUUGAAUUCAUCAAACUUUUAUAAAUAACUAGCACAUAUAUAAACAUAUUACAAUAAUAUUAAUUAAUAAAAUUUUAUAUUAUAUCAUAUUAAAAUAUUCCUAAAAUACUAACUUUUAUCGAUGAUAUUAAUACUCAUGAAUAUAUUCGAUAUGAACAAAAAAUAUUGUAUGAAAAAUACAUCAACAACAACAACCAUCCUCAGUAACACAAAACAAAUUGGACAAUAUUUGGAAAUUUUGAAGGUUUCAGAUCAAACUUACCUGACUAUUAGUGUUGUUGUAAUAUUUAAAUUUGUGUAAUAGUUAUGUCUUCAUGAAAUUUUUUAAAAGCUUUUUUCAUUAGUUUCUUUUGUAUAUUUUUUUUGUUUAAAUCUACAUUUAAAAUAGUUUAAAUCUUAUUUUAAAGUUUAUUUAAUUUAUGUGUAAAACUUAAAUUUUGCAAACAAAAUUUAAUAUAUUUAUGAUAUAUAAUUUUUUAAGGAUUAAAACAAUAAACGAUAAAAUACUUAUGAAUUAUAAAUAUGAUGUAUAAUUGUAGGGACCAGAAUGCAAAUAAAAAUAUGAAACUUCAAAUUUGAAGUUUUGAGUAGUGAAACUUCAAAUAUAGAGUUUCACUCCUCAAAACUUCAAAUUUGAAGUUUUGAAGUUCUUUUUGGAGAGCAAAAAACUUCAUAUUUGAAGUUAUAGAGUGUCUUUUGGAGAUGUUCUUAUAUACUCGCUGUUUCAAAUGUUGUUUCUUCCUUCAUUCAUAGUAUUAGUUAGGAUAUAUAAAUUUGAUGAGUGGAAAAAUGGGAGAAUGAGACACACAUGGAUAUUACAUUUUUUAACAAAAUUAACUAAAGAAAAAAGAGUACACAUGCCUGUUAAUUUUUAUUUCUUUUUUUGUAAAAGUUGAAAAAUACUUAGCCUCUAAUUAUGAUAAAAUAAAUGUUAUAUAUACUUUUAAUCUAUAAUACGGUUUUUAAUUUUGAAACUUUUUCUUUCUUUUAUAUUUUAUAAAAUCGUUUUUGUAACAUAUGUAAACAUGAUUUUGUUAUCAUUUCAAUUUUAUUUCAAUAAAAUACAACAUUUAAUUUUUGUGCUUACACCAUAUUUAUCAUGUAUAUUUUUUUUUAUUUACUCUAUCGGUUGAUUCGGUCGGUCCCGGUAGAAGCACACUUAGUGCUAUAAAGUAGACUGGAUACCACACUGUAUAAUCUAAGUUUGAAAUGUCUUCCGACUAAUGUUAGAGAUAGCUAGAUCGUCUCUUACUGAACUAUCAUGUAAACUGCAUGAACCGAAUCUCAAACUCAGACUAGCCAAUUAGCAGUAACUUUGUUCCCAGCAGAAAUCACAUUUAAAUUUUCAACUUAACAUCAUAGUUUAUUUUUAACUAUAUCACAUUUUAUUUUUUUAUGUAUAAUACUAAAUAUACCUUUGUAAAUAGAUAAUAUAUUUGUUUAUAUAUCAGAUUUUAAAAUUUUGAAACAAGUACAUGAUAUUAGGUUUUUCUGUUUAUAAUUUUAAAACAUAUCUUUAAAUAAGAAACUAUUGGAAUCUGAGUAUGCGUCCAUCAACUUAAUUAUCUCUUUAUAAAAAAAAAAAGAAACUUAUUGAUCUGAAAGUAGUGGCGUCUGAGUCAUAGCGAGAAGCAGAUGAUGAGACUUACAUCUAAUAAUAAAGUUAAUAGUUAUGCUUAAUAUAUUUUUCAAAGGUAAAAGAUAUUGUGUCAAAAGACAUAAGAAACGCACCGUUUUGAAACUCUCUCUGCAGACGACAAGAAAGACGAUUCUGCUUCCUCCGGAACGGCGUCGAGUGUGCGCGCGUUAGAGCGUCGCUUGAGUGUCCGGCUCCGGCGGGUCCCCUCCUCAUCCCUUCUUCCUUGUUUUUUCUUUGCCACUUGCUUGUCCAUGUCGGUCUCUCCGCCUUGCUAGAGCUUCUGAGUUGGUGAGAUCUGUCCGCCAGCCGACCGCGCGCGAGGUACGUCUGCCGGGUUCGAUCUGUGCUCUCUUUGGUUGUUCUGGCGCGGUAGUAGCAGCGGUGGCUCGUGAGUGGUCGGCGUUUAGGGUUGGGACUGGAUCUAUUUUCUCGUUCAGAUCUGGUCCGUUUAUCGUCGUCGUUCGGCGAGGCUUGCCCGGUUGGGUUUCUUUUCUGGUCGCGGUGGUCUCUGCUGUGCUAGGUUUUGGAAAUCGAUCUUCUUUCGGGUCUUGGACGCGGGUCCUGUUUCGGUGUCGAAGCGGACUGCCCCACUUCUCGGAUGUUAGGUGAGUUCUGGUUCUUUGAGUCGGAGGUGAGGCUUGAGCCAGGCUGUGCAGGCGGAGAUGGCAUCUGGUCUCUGUCCAGCCUUUCGUUGUGGUUUCAGGGGAGUUUUAUCCGCUGCUUAGCUGCGGAUUCCGGUGGUCGUCCAUGUCUUCCGGAGACUGUCUUGUUCCCGACAUCACUUUGGGCCUCCUUGUCACGGCUGCUUAUCCAUUCUGUCCCGAGGUUUUAGCGGCCGCAAUUCCUCUGGGGUUUUGGUCUCAACGCACUCCUUUGUUUAACUGUUUCCGUCGACACCGGCAGUGGUUCUCUCAGCUUGGUUUUGGUUCCCGGUUCUCGGUGACCACAAGUGUGGAGGCGGCUCUCGGGGAGUCAUUGGCCGCCUCCGUGUCGUCGCUUGAUCUCAGACUACGUCCCGGCACCGUUCAGAACUCUUGCUCUCUUGCGGUGGUGGUCUUGUUUUUCCUUGCAGGUUCAGGAGGCUUAAUGGAUUGGUGGUGGCGAUGAUAUCAGCCCGCCUUUGUUCGGUUUAUGGCAACUUGGAAGUGUGUACAGAUUGGGCUCUCGAACGUCUUCUCAGUAAGGUUCUUGGUUCUCCACUUCUCUAGUUCGUCAUGUGCGUCAUUGACAGUGACGGUAACAAUGUCUCGAGGCGUUCAUUGGAAACUAGCUACUCCAGAGACGACAAAGGAAGUCCCGGCAUCCGAAGAAAUGAGGAGAACCUCACCUUCCUGCGAUAAUCGUCAAUGGUUGAGAACAGCAACCAAUUCUUAAGGAUUUCGAAAAUCGGACUAGUGGAACGUGCCGGGUUUAGUGGGUGGGCGAAACUAGAAUGUAAUAGAUUAACUUAGGAGCUUUUGUUCAAAUCGAGCUUGUAACCGAAUCUGAAUUCCCGUAUUUCGGGUUGAUUUAAUAUAUCUAUAUUAUUU
Molecule: long non-coding RNA, 15110 nt
Organism: Brassica rapa (field mustard)
Lineage: Eukaryota; Viridiplantae; Streptophyta; Magnoliopsida; Brassicales; Brassicaceae
Source: RefSeq, a predicted model, not a curated record